GAAGUAAAAGUCGUAACAAGGUCUCCGUUGGUGAACCAGCGGAGGGAUCAUUAGCGAGUUAAUUACAAACUCCAAACCCAUGUGAACAUACCUUUUGUUGCCUCGGCAGGUCGUGAUGCGCGGCCGGACCGCCUACCCUGGAGCAGCUACCCUGGAGUAGCUACCCUGGAGUUGGCGCCGCCUACCCUGCAGCACGCAAACAGGCCUGCCGAAGGACCCCCAAACUCUGUUUUACAACUGUAUCUCUGAGUCUAUUAUACAAAUAAGUUAAAACUUUCAACAACGGAUCUCUUGGUUCUGGCAUCGAUGAAGAACGCAGCGAAAUGCGAUAAGUAAUGUGAAUUGCAGAAUUCAGUGAAUCAUCGAAUCUUUGAACGCACAUUGCGCCUAAUAGUAUUCUGUUAGGCAUGCCUGUUCGAGCGUCAUUUCAACCCCCAAGCCCUAUUUGCUUGACGUUGGGAGCUUACGGAGACGUAACUCCUCAAAUAUAGUGGCGGAGCUAGUUCGUGCUCUAAGCGUAGUAAUCAUACCCUCGCUUCUGCAGCCGGCCUAGGUCCUGCCGUAAAACCCCCUAUAUUUUUUACUGGUUGACCUCGGAUCAGGUAGGAAUACCCGCUGAACUUAAGC
RNAcentral lists this ribosomal RNA (627 nucleotides) under Biscogniauxia sp. 2 ICMP 18793. Its description in RNAcentral is "eukaryotic LSU rRNA". The stretch from base 272 to 425 matches the Rfam family "5.8S ribosomal RNA". The record is from RNAcentral. Lineage: Eukaryota; Fungi; Ascomycota; Sordariomycetes; Xylariales; Xylariaceae.